Molecule: ribosomal RNA, 381 nt
Filed under: uncultured bacterium
Lineage: Bacteria
Description: bacterial SSU rRNA
Rfam family: Bacterial small subunit ribosomal RNA
Source: RNAcentral
UACGGAGGGUGCAAGCGUUAUCCGGAUUCACUGGGUUUAAAGGGUGCGUAGGCGGGUAUUUAAGUCAGUGGUGAAAUCCUAGAGCUUAACUCUAGAACUGCCAUUGAUACUAUUUAUCUUGAAUAUUGUGGAGGUAAGCGGAAUAUGUCAUGUAGCGGUGAAAUGCUUAGAUAUGACAUAGAACACCUAUUGCGAAGGCAGCUUACUACGCAUAUAUUGACGCUGAGGCACGAAAGCGUGGGGGGAUCAAACAGGAUUAGAUACCCUGGUAGUCCACGCCCUAAACGACGGAUACUCGACAUACGCGAAAACACUGUGUGUGUCUGAGCGAAAGCAUUAAGUAUCCCACCUGGGAAGUACGACCGCAAGGUUGAAACUCAA